Molecule: ribosomal RNA, 296 nt
Filed under: uncultured bacterium
Lineage: Bacteria
Description: partial 16S ribosomal RNA
Rfam family: Bacterial small subunit ribosomal RNA
Source: RNAcentral
GGAUUAGAUACCCUGGUAGUCCACGCUGUAAACGAUGAGUACUAGCUGUUGGUCCUGGUGUAAAAGGAUUAGUGGCGUAGCUAACGCGGUAAGUACUCCGCCUGGGGACUACGGCCGCAAGGUUAAAACUCAAAGGAAUUGACGGGGACCCGCACAAGCGGUGGAGCAUGUGGUUUAAUUCGAUGCAACGCGAAAAACCUUACCUACCCCUGACAUCCUAAGAAGACAAAAGAGAUUUUGUUGUGCCUUCGGGAACUUAGAGACAGGUGCUGCAUGGCUGUCGUCAGCUCGUGCUG